This 335-nucleotide unclassified non-coding RNA is filed under the name Hevea brasiliensis (rubber tree). Lineage: Eukaryota; Viridiplantae; Streptophyta; Magnoliopsida; Malpighiales; Euphorbiaceae. The record is from RNAcentral.
GAUUACAAUUACUAUGAGGACGACGAUGAUUUCGAGAGAGUAAGUGGGGAUCGGAGCCUUGGUAGGGCGAUGGCUGACUCUCGAGGGUGGGUGCCGAGAAGAGGAGUGCAGUGGGUGGUUCUAGGAGACCCUGGGGUGAAGAAGCAUGUUUAUGCAGAGAGGCUCGCCAAGCUUCUAGAUGUCCCUCAUAUUUCCAUGGGGAGCCUUGUUCGUCAGGAGCUUAAUCCUCGUUCUUCCAUCCACCAGCAGAUUGCUAGUGCAAUCAAUGAAGGAAAGCCUGUUUUGGAAGAAAUCAUUUUCAGACUGUUGUCAAAGAGGCUAGAAGAAGGGUAUUG